GAUGAACGCUGGCGGCGUGCCUAAUACAUGCAAGUCGAGCGAACAGACGAGGAGCUUGCUCCUCUGACGUUAGCGGCGGACGGGUGAGUAACACGUGGAUAACCUACCUAUAAGACUGGGAUAACUUCGGGAAACCGGAGCUAAUACCGGAUAAUAUAUUGAACCGCAUGGUUCAAUAGUGAAAGACGGUUUUGCUGUCACUUAUAGAUGGAUCCGCGCCGCAUUAGCUAGUUGGUAAGGUAACGGCUUCCCAAGGCAACGAUGCGUAGCCGACCUGAGAGGGUGAUCGGCCACACUGGAACUGAGACACGGUCCAGACUCCUACGGGAGGCAGCAGUAGGGAAUCUUCCGCAAUGGGCGAAAGCCUGACGGAGCAACGCCGCGUGAGUGAUGAAGGUCUUCGGAUCGUAAAACUCUGUUAUUAGGGAAGAACAAAUGUGUAAGUAACUAUGCACGUCUUGACGGUACCUAAUCAGAAAGCCACGGCUAACUACGUG
RNAcentral lists this ribosomal RNA (497 nucleotides) under uncultured bacterium. Its description in RNAcentral is "partial 16S ribosomal RNA". It matches the Rfam family "Bacterial small subunit ribosomal RNA", at positions 28 to 507 of the family's 1533-position model. The record is from RNAcentral.